RNAcentral lists this transfer RNA (72 nucleotides) under Parcubacteria group bacterium ADurb.Bin316. RNAcentral's name for it is "tRNA-Pro". It matches the Rfam family "tRNA". From Rfam's summary of the family: Transfer RNA (tRNA) molecules are approximately 80 nucleotides in length. Their secondary structure includes four short double-helical elements and three loops (D, anti-codon, and T loops). Further hydrogen bonds mediate the characteristic L-shaped molecular structure. tRNAs have two regions of fundamental functional importance: the anti-codon, which is responsible for specific mRNA codon recognition, and the 3' end, to which the tRNAs corresponding amino acid is attached (by aminoacyl-tRNA synthetases). tRNAs cope with the degeneracy of the genetic code in two manners: having more than one tRNA (with a specific anti-codon) for a particular amino acid; and 'wobble' base-pairing, i.e. permitting non-standard base-pairing at the 3rd anti-codon position. The record is from RNAcentral.
CGGAGUAUAGUAUAACGGUAGUACGCGUCCAUGGGGUGGAUGUAGCCUGGGUUCAAUUCCCAGUACUCCGAC